RNAcentral lists this long non-coding RNA (15915 nucleotides) under Solanum tuberosum (potato). RNAcentral describes it as "long non-coding RNA (STUB_LNC010989)". Lineage: Eukaryota; Viridiplantae; Streptophyta; Magnoliopsida; Solanales; Solanaceae. The record is from RNAcentral.
AAAUGUAACGAUGAUCCUAACGUUGGAACCAAAAUUUGCAAAAGUAGCCCUCCUUCCGUCCCAUCUCCAACUCCAACCAAUACAUGUCGUCCGUCUGGCACAAUCAAUUGCAACGGUGUACACCCAAUAUACCGUUGCUCGCCACCUGUCACCUCCUCAACUCCCGCUCAACUUACCUUCAACGACUUCGGUGAAGGCGGAGACGGGGGUGGUCCAUCAUCAUGUGAUGGAAAAUAUCAUAACAAUAACGAAAGAAUAGUAGCAUUGUCCACCGGAUGGUUUGCAGGACGUUCGAGGUGUGGUAAAAUGAUACUAAUUCGCGCUAAUAACGGAAAGACCGUAACGGCUAAAGUGGUGGAUGAAUGUGAUUCUACUAUGGGUUGUGAUGCGGAACAUGCUUUUCAAAGUCCAUGCAAAAAUAACAUAGUGGAUGGUUCUAUUGCUGUGUGGAGAGCUUUAGGGUUAAAUACAGAUUUAGGUAUUGUUCCUGUCACUUGGUCCAUGGUUUAGGCCAACAUGGAGCGAUCGUUACAGUUAUGGAUUUGAUAGAAUUCAGUAACUUUAUAUGUCUCAAAUUAUAUGUAAUAAGAUGUACAUUAGAGUUUCUUAAAAAUAAUCAACUACGAUAUAAUUUCAACUAAUUAUAUUUUUCUUUCAUCUCAAUUUAUGUUGUGAAGCUUGACUUCUUCGUUUUUUAAUAUCAUGGCAUCACCCCCUUUGAAUUUGCGAAACUACUUCCUCCGAUUGAUAACCUAAGGAAGUCAACAUAUCCGCAACAUGAUUUGUUCCCGUUAAAUAGUUCUUGAUGAAAAGACUCUUGUCUUCGACCAUCUAUUUAAUCUCUUUACUUUAUUUCAAUUUGUUUGACUAGUCGCUGAGUUUAUAAAAGAAAUAAAUUCACUUGAAAUUUGUGGACUUAAACAAAGCAUAGAUAUUUUUGUGGUUAUAGAUAAUCUUAUUAAGAAUAAAGUGAAAAGUUUAAAAUUAUAUUAGUAUUAAAUAUGAAAAUGAUCAAACAUUUGGAGGGGGGGAGGGAGGGGGGACAAAUUUAUAAAAAGGAAAAUAUAAUGUCAUUUAAAUUAGAAGGGUGAUAUAGGGGAUUGAAUGAAUUAUGUUAAUCACAUAAUUGUAAUUCUUUUUUGUACUAAUUAAUUAUGAGUAUAGGUGAUAUAGGAGCUUUGAAUCCUUUCAAAUAUCUUCCUCAGAUUAUUAUGUACUUUUGAGUUAAGAUAAAUAAAACGCAGAAAGAUUGCUUGAAAAAAAAAGGUUAGGUGAUAUAGCUCUGAUUUUAACAUUCCGCUGCUUUAAUUUUAUUUUUAUUCUAAUAAAAUCAGAAAAAAUAUUUAUUUUUCUUUUUUAUUAUAAAUUUCAAAAGUCUUUAUGUCUAGCACCAAUUAUAGAAAGUCUGAAAAUUGCAAAAAUGCAAAAAAGGAGGACGGAGUGCAAGGUCAUAUUGUACUAUCAAAAAAUGGUAUAAUAUUGAAAUGUGUUCUUUAACUUGAUAUUAACUGAUAUUUAUGCAUUUUAAUUUUGAAUGUGCAAGGUACAUAAAUUUAUAUAGAAUUGAACAAUUAGACACAUAUGUCUAACGUGACGCCUUACGUGUAUUAUACCAUAUAAGACACAUGUAUUACGCCACGCAAAAAAUAUUUGCAGUAUACACUUAUUUUCUAGUUGUAAUACAAUGAAUAUGCACCAGUAACUAUUUCAAAUUGAUACAUCCGAAGUACUAUAUAGCUGGAUAUUUUUGACAGAUUGAAACUCAUAAGAAAAACACGAUAAAUGAUUUGAGACGAAGAGAUCAGUAUUUUCUCCUAAAUAAGACUCCCAUACCCUUUCUCUAAGAAUAAAGAUUAACCAGAUAUAAAAUAUUUAUAUUUAUCUUAUUGUUAAAGUAAACCCAAUUAUAAUAAGUAUGUUGUCGUUUUUUCCAAAACAAUAAAACACCCAAUUAUGAUUUAGAAAUUAGGACAAACACCCAAUAAUAUGUGAGUUUCUUAACAAAUCAAUUAUAUUCAAAUCAAACUAUGAAAAUUGACAAUUAAAUUUGCAAGACAUGGAUUGGUUUAAAACGUGGACGACGGUUGUGUAUCGGUCGGUUCGGUUCGAUUUAUCGAUUCAGUUUUUCGAUUUUCAGAUUUUAAAUAUGCUAAAUCGAUAACCAAAUCAAUAAGAUAUUUGUUAUAGGUUUUCGAUUUAUCGAUUUUGAUCUUUAACGGUUCGGUUUUCGGUUUAACCAAUAAGAAAAUGCUUCCAAAAUAAAUAUAUGACUUGUCCAACAAUUUAACGCGAAAUAAAAAGAGAAAAAUCUAAUUACUCAUUGAGUGCAAAAAUUCUUCUUAGUGUAGUAAAAGUAUAGCAAAUACUCAUAAUUCACAACCCUAGUCAUUGCCUAACCCUUGCCACCGUCGUUGCAAACCCUAGACAGCGUCGUUCUUAGUUCUUUAGGUUUUUGACGUUGUGAACCUAAAGACUAAAGUAAUACUAAAACCUAAAGGGUAAAUGCAGAGAGCAAGUUAAUUAAGUAAUGUUAAUUGUGUAGGGUCCUUAAAGUUAUAUUAUAAUAUAGUGAUUAUACUAAUAUUGUUUGUUUGAUAUUUAUGUAUGACUAAAAAUUAAAAUAGUAAAUUAUUAUAUUCUUAAUGGGUUAUCGGUUAACUCAAUAACCCAAUAUAAAAACCAAUAUCAAACCGAUAACCCAAUAAUUUUAUUUUAUAAAACCAUUAAAUAACUAUUAACCCAAUAACCAAUAACACUUUUUUCGGUUCGAUUUAUCGGUCGAUUCGGUUUUGCACACGGACGACGGUCAUGUUGUAUUUUUUUAUAAGAGAAAAGAUCUAGAAAUAUAUAUAUAUAUAUAUAUAUAUAUAUAUAUAUAUAUAUAUAUUGAGUCAAAAAUGAAUAUAUUAAUUAAAUAGCAGCCAUGACCUAGGAACUAAAGAGUACUAGGAAUAGCAUACAUAUCUCUCUAUGGUCAAAAAAUUUCCCUCUCUUACUUCUUUUUUUCAAGGUUUAGGGUGGGGGGGAGAGAAAAAUAUUGUUAGUGAAGUAAUUAAUCGAUUGUACAAAAUUUAUUAGUAUUGGACUAAAUUAGAAUUCACGUGUUAUAGAGUUUAUUUUCUGAAAAUAACGCUUCUAACAAAAAAAAUCAUUUCCAAAAAAAUGGUUUCGACCCUUCUAAUUAAAGGUAAUUUCAAACCAUCCUACCGUAAUUCAGAUUGAUUAAUUAAUCAAUCCAAUUGCUAAUCCAUCUAUUAGUCCUAAUAAUAUCAGAAGCCGUGCAACCAUGCAAGUCCUUGCAUUAAAUAGCCAAAGAAAGUCUAAUUUUGCUUAUACAAAAUUUGGAAAGAUUUUUAUACGUAGAUAUAAUCGUGGUAUUCGUGUCGGCUUGUGUGCACCUCGACUAAAUUCUACGGAAUAUAUGUCACUUUCCACGAGUAACACAUACCAGAUAACUUUUUCCACCAAAGUUAAAACAAAUAUAAAGAAAUUGCUUAGCGUUUUGCCUAUAUUAAAAUUUAAACCUGAGAUAUCAUGAUGCUCGAUUAACCCACUUCAUUAAAGAAUUUUCUUUUUACAAAAGUAAAAGAACAAGUCAUACUAUUAUUCAUUGUUUAACUUAUCCCAAUUCAGUUCAUUUCUCCCUAUAUAUAUUCAUCCAUUUAGACACUUUUCUUCACCCAUCAACACUUUCUUACACAUAUAACCUUUUCAAUCAUUACAAAAAUAGCCACAAUGUCCAAUCUAGCCUUUCUUUCACUAAUUUUCACCAUUUUCAUCUACACUUCUAACGCCAUUUCUCAAUGUAACGGCCCUUGUAAAACUUGGGACUAUUGCGAUGGUCAAUUAAUUUGCAUAAACGAAAAAUAUAACGAUGAUCCCAACGUUGGAACCAAAAUUUGCAAAAGUAGCCCUCCUUCUGUCCCUUCUCCAACUCCAACCAAUACAUGUCGUCCGUCUGGCACUGUCAAUUGCAACGGUGUACACCCAAUAUACCGUUGCUCGCCACCUGUCACCUCAUCAAUGCCCGCUCAACUUACCUUCAACGACUUCAGUAGAGGUGGAGACUGUCACGCCCCGAGCCUACACCCUGGACAUGGCUGACACUAGAAGACCAUUGUUGGCCCCAAGCGAACCCUUGGCCUGGCUUACCUACCUCAGACGAAGACAAUAUUCAUACUUAUAAUGAUCAAUAACACUUAACUAAACUGAAUAAUAAAAUAACUGAGAAUGUUUAAAGGUUAAACAUUCAACUUGGCCAAAAGUGGCAACCCAAGUCUUAACAAUAAGAAAUGAUAAUGAAAAGACUCAAAGGACUAACAUCUGAUUGUCUAUGAAGCCUCUAAAACAACUGAGAUGGAUGUUGGGACAACCCCACAACAUCCUAAUGAACUAACUAGAAAGCAAUGAAAAUAGAUCCUCCGGAAUGCAAGGAAGCUCACCGACUGACUCUGAACUGCUCACUGGAUCAACGGUGCGCUGGAAUGCCGAUCCUAGUUAAUUACAUGUAUCUGCAUCAUAAGUCUAGUUGGAAUGCUAAAACAACAUAGGCUUGAAAGGGAACCUGCUGAAAGAAACACUUACCUUGGCUCUUCUCAACUCAUGAAUACCUAACUGAUCUCAUUUCAAUAUAAACCAGUUUAAAACAAGUGCAAUAUAAAGAAAAGUUGUUUAAAAACAUGAUGUCAACUCUGUGUAUAUACAAGGAUACAACAUAACUCUGAAAUGUAUGUAAAAAUACAAUAAACUGAUGUAUAUAAAAAUACAAUAAAAUUGAUGUAUGUGGGAGUUUCUCUAACCGACAACCAUCACAUAAGAGCUAUAGUGAUGAUACAGCGAUCUACCUCACGCUGCCAGCGCAUCCUAUACCCGGCCAAAGGUACUAGGACCUAAACUACUAAGUGGAUCCACUAGUCUAUUGUGAAAAGGGUUCAUCUAAAAAGUAUGACCCUUUUCUACCCAUGGUGGCUACAUGGUUUUAUGGAGACGUGAGUUAUCUGAACUCAUGCUCACCCCCAAUUCAGUGCUCAAUACUACUCCCAAAAUAUACUAGCUCUUAUGUUUUUUUUUUAAAAAACAUACUUCUUCUGUGAUUUGAGAUUAGUGCUCAGAAACUUAGCUCAAAGGCUAUCUUGGAAAUCAAGUUUCCCCUCUUGCUUCAUUUAGAAAGCGAUUACUCUUUUCUGAAAACUAGCCCGAAGGCUCUUUGGAAAUCUCAGUUUCCGUUCUUAUUUAAAUGUGAAAACAUUUUAAAUCUCUUUAAGAAUACUUAGUCCCCAUAUACUUUUGAAGUAAUGAACUUCAAACUUUUACUCUUUACUAAACUUGAUCUUUAAGUCUUAAAACAAAGUUAAAAGCAUUUGCAAAAGACUUCUUGAAAAGACUCGAAGAACUUCCUAGACUUUGGCUCUUGACUUUCCUUGAAUUUGAAUUUAUGGAUUCAAGGUUAUGAUUAAUGUUUAUGGAUGAUUUCUAGGUGUUUAGAAGUCAUUUAGAGUAGUUAGAAUCAAUGGAAGAUGUUAGGACACUUUAGAAUAACAUAAAUAGGCCAAACGAUGAAAAACAGGUGAAAACGCCGAUCCAGGCGCGUCCCUGGAGCACCGCGACAGGCCCCAAUUUACUGGGGCUCAUUUUGGGCGCACUACGGGCGCACUGCCCCAGCCUCCUGGAGCUAUGGGGGCGCGACACACCUGGCCCUCCCCAGGUGCGUCUGACGAGUUUUUCAACUCGUUUUCUGAUCCUAAAUCAUUUUAAAUCGAUUUCUUUUCUCAAUAGUUUCUUUGAUCCAGAUACCCAACACAUGUACACUAGAAUCUAACUCGAAACAACUCUUAACAUCGCUAAAACGUCUCAAGGAAACCCAUCAAUCACAUGUAAGUUCAAGAAAGAAAACAAUUCAAGAACACAACUCAAGAACAUCAAAUUCUAACUCUUUUAGGAAGAAAAUCACUGAAUUAAACAUGCUUGGUGCAUGGGUGAACUAACCCAACGCUAUGUGAUCUCGCAUACCUUGUAGGGAUCACCCCCGACAAAAUCCACAAGCUAAUCUUGAACGAAUCUUGAACGUUCUUGCUUCCCCUUCUCCUUUCUCUUUUCUCCAAGCCCUAGCGUGAAAUUCACUUUUCUAAAAUGGACUAAAAUCUGAUUUGACCCAUAUUAAACUCCUAAAAACAGAUUAAAAUAAUAGUGCAAGAAAAAGACUAAAAUACCCCUUAAAAAUCCGGAUUGGACAUUUCCUUAUUUGAACAGCCCAACUUCCGAAGGGGAUAACUUGCUCAUACGAACUCGAAAUCACUCAAACUUGGCGGCGUUGGAAAGAUCAUUCCAAGGGAUUUCCAACCAUAUCUGGAAUCACACCUAACUCAUCCUGAGCUAGGAAUUAUGGCUGUUUGAAGUUGACCAAAAACUCACUUUAACACCUUUACCAAAUUUCCAAAUUUUUAAAUUCUUCCCAAAAAUAACUAUUUCCAGAUUUUAAACUUCAUUCUAGUUCUUUCUAGUUGCGAGAUGUUACAGAGACGGGGGUGGUCCAUCAUCAUGUGAUGGGAAAUAUCAUAACAAUAAUGAAAGAAUAGUAGCAUUGUCCACUAGAUGGUUCGGCGGACGUUCGAGGUGUGGUAAAAUGAUAUUAAUUCGUGCUAAUAAUGGAAAGACCGUAACGGCUAAAGUGGUGGAUGAAUGUGAUUCUACUAUGGGUUGUGAUGCGGAACAUGCUUUUCAAAGUCCAUGCAAAAAUAACAUAGUGGAUGGUUCUAUUACUGUGUGGAGAGCUUUAGGGUUGGAUACAGAUUUGGGUAUUGUCCCUGUCACUUGGUCCAUGGUUUAGGUCAACAUGGAGCGAUCGUUACAAUUAUGGAUUCGAUAGAAUUCAGUAACUUUAUAUAGCUCAAAUUAUAUACUUAUUGAACAAGCGUGUCAUCUUACAUGUAAUAAGAUGUGCAUUAGCGUUCUUUAAAAAUAAUCAACUACGGUAUAAUUUCAUACUAAUAAUAUUCUUCUUUCAUCUCAAUUUAUGUUGUGAUGUUUGACCUUCUUUUUUUUUAAUAUCAUGGCAUCACCCCUUUGAAUUUGCGAAACUACUUCCUCUGGUUGAAUACAAAUUAUGAAUUUGAUAAAAUUCAGUAACUUUAUAGCAUAAUUGAAUAGGCAUAUCAUCUUACAUGUAAUAAGAUGUACAUUGGAGUCACUUAAAAAUAAUAAAUUACGAUAUAAUUCCUAACUAAUAGUAAUGUUUAUGUGGUGAUCAUGUUUGACUUUUUUUUUAAUAUCAUGUCACGAUUUUAUUACCCCUUGGAAUUUGCAAAAUUACUUCCUCUAAUUUUUAGCAUAAGGAAGUCAUCAUAAAAUAAGAAGUUUAUAAUUAAAUUAGUAUUUUUUUUUUAAAUAUAGAAAUGUGAUAUUUUAAGGGGACAAUUUUAUAAAAAUAAAAAUAUAAUAUAAUAAGUCAUAUAAAUUAGAAGGGUAGAGUACUAAUUAAUUAUGAGUAUAAUAUAUUGGGGUUGCAAGAAUUAUGUUAAUCACUUAAUUGUUAUUCUGUUUUAAAUCGUUAUCAAAAUGGGUAAGUGCUUCCUAUGGGAAAUAUUUGUAACUUAAUUAUCCAUCAUAAAAUCAUCGAUAAAUACGUGAUAAAUAUAUAUAUCCAUCAUAUUCUAUCAUUAAUCUUUCUAUUGUGAUUGUUUCGACCAUUAAAAUGGUUGAUAUUUUAAGAUGGUGAAAUUAAUCCUCCUUACUUAUUCCUGGAUUCUUAUUUUAUCCCUUUGUUUAUUCACUUAUUUAUGUAAUAGACUUGUUUUUUUUAUCUUUUUAUAGUUUGGUGGAAAAUAUUUAGAAAUAUAUUUAUCCAUUAUUGAGUCAAAAAUGAAUAUAUUAAUUAAUUAGUAGCCACUGCCUAGGAAAAGAGUACUACUCUCUAUGGUCUACUUUUAUCCCUUAUUACUAGGGGUGUGCACAAUUCGGAUUAAACCGAAUAACCAAAACAAAUUAAAUCGAAUUUUUAUUUGGAUUGGUUUUUGGUUUUUCGAAUUGAUUUUGGAUUAAUAAAUUACUUUGUUUGGUUUUUUGGUUUGGUUUUGGAUUUUAAAAAAUAAAAAUCGAAAAAUCGAAAAAAAAACGAAUUAUAUGUAUGUGUGUGUGUAUAUAUAUAUAUAUAUAAAUGUUUAUGUUUAGAAUUAAGUUGGAGUUAACCACUUUUGUCCCUUUUUGGUUAUUGCAUUUCAUCAUGAUUACGUUUAUAUUUUAUAUUUGAACAUCUAUAAUAGGUAUAAUUAUAAGUAUUGUGUUUUAAGUUUUACUUAUGAUUUAUAUUAUAAAGUAUAUUUAAUUAAGAGAAUCAAUAUUAUUACUUUGGUUAUGUUAUUAAUUAUUGACAUAACCGAAUAACCACACCGAAAAAAAGCCGAACCGAAUAAAGGAAAACCAAACCAAACCAAAUUUAUUUUGGAUCGGAUUGGAUUACACUUUUACAAAUCAAAAACCAAAAAAUCCAAACUGAAUAGUGAAAAACCGAAUGCACACCCCUACUUAUUACUCUCCUUUUACUUCUUGAUUUCCCUAAUGUUAAUUAUUUGAAAAAUUAAUUAAAUAAUACAAAAUAUUUCCAUCUAGUUCUUUCUUUUUCUGAUUAAAUAGUAUAACAUGACAUGCAACUGUUUUUAAAAAAUUUGUUCAAGGUUUGGGAAGAAGAAAAAAAAAAGGAAGAAAAAUAUUAUUUGUGAAUUAGUUAAUCGAUUAUACAAAAGCUAUUAGUACUAAGGACUUCCUCACUAUAUUUAGGGAAAUAUAUAUAUAUAUAUAUAUAUAUACCCUUAAAUGCUUCAUUACUUUCAUACCCUCUUUUUAUUUGAAAAUGACAUAUAAUUCACGCGCCAACGUCAAAUUGAUGUUUGUGCCUACCCUUUUUUUCUCUCUGAUACCAUCUUAGUAUAUUACAGUAUAUGAAUAUACUUUGAUCGUAUCAAAGAGUAACUGAGCAGUGUCUUCAUUGAAGGAUUGUUUCUUCCUCCUGGAUACUAUCAAAAUAUAAUAUACUUUGAUGGUAUUAAUGAAUAACUGGACAGUGUUUUCAUUGAGGUUUGCUUCAAUCCUUCGAUGAGAUUACUCAAUCAUCCAUGAUACAAUUACGGUAUAUCUACAUAUUGUCGUGGUACUAUUGAGGUAUGUUUCAAUUCUUCAAUAUUAUAAUUUAAAACAGUUUUUAAAAAAGACAUAACGUAGAUACAAUUUUUUAAAAAUUUGUAAAAAGAGAAAAAAAAACUUAUAUUUUUCUACUAAUUUAGAGUUUAAUAAAUAAGAUUGUAACUUUAAUAAUUUUCUUUUAAUUGUUUCUUCUUUAUUUCUUAAAAAAGAGUUCAAUCCUAUAUGAUACCAAUAACUAUAAGGUAUCAAUAUAUAGACGGAGCAUCACAGAGGAUUAAACUCAAUUUAUAUGAUAUCAUUAUGGUAUCAAUAUACCAACGGAGUAUCACAAAGAAUAUAUUUUCUACUAAUUUAGAGUUUAAUAAAUAAGAUUGUGACUUUAAUAAUUUUCUCUUAAUUGUUUCUUAUUUAUUUCUUAAAAAAAAGAGCACAAUCCUAUACGAUACUGAUAGGGUUCAAUAUAUCGACAUAGUAUCACAAAGGAUUAACUCAGUCAUAUAUGAUACGGAUAUGGUAUUCAAUAUACCGACAGAGUAUCACAAAAGAUUCAUUCAUAGUAGUGAUGUUGAUGCCAUGGUGACAUCAUAGAAAGAAGAAAGUGGGGCAAGUGGGUAAAUAGUUUGGAUCAUGGGUCCAUUAAGGAUAAAUAGUUUAGGUUGGAUCCAAUUUGGAUAAAUAGUUACAAAAUUUGGCCGAUUUUAUGUAGUUUUCCCCUAUAUUCAUGGUAUAAUGACUAGCUCAUAGUCAUUAGCUUUUUAUGGAUGCAUUUUAGUGAAUGGUCUUUUUUUCUUAUUUCUCAUUUAGUGUUCGAUAUUUUUAUUGAGAUUCAAUAUUUUUAUUGGGAUUCGAUAAAACUUGAAUUCGCGUGUGUUGCAUGAAAAUAACGCUUCCAAUAAAAAAAAAUGAUUUCCAAAAAAUUAAAUUUGAUCCCUCUGAUUAAGGAUAAUUCUGAAUUAUCCUACCACAAUUUACGUUAAUUAAUUAAUCAACUUGCUAGUCCAUCUAUUAGUCAGAAAAUAUCAGAAGCCGUGCAUUCAAGUCUUAGCUUUGAAUAUCCAGAAAAAGUCUAAUUUUGCGAACUAUCGCUAUGAAAAUUGUGCAUAGGGUAGCCAAAUUAAGCUCAUAAAAAUAGGACUCGUCCUACCCUAUUUAAAAUUUGGAAUAAUCAUGGCUUUCAGGUCAGCUUGCACACAUAUCUCGUAACUUUUUUCAUCAAAACUAGAACAAAUGAAAAGAAAUUACUUAAUGUUUUGUCUUUGCUAGAAUUUGAACCAGAAACCUCAUGGUGCUCGAUCAGCUCACUUCAUAUCCGACUUUUUUUCAAGUAAAACUUGAGUCGAACUAUAAACCAUUGUUUAAUCUUAUCUUGAACCAGAGACCUCAUGGUGCUCGAUCAACCCACUCCAUAUCCGUCCAUUUGUCACGUUUGCAACUAUACUAGCCAAAAAUUACAUCUCACAGUAUCUUUUCUUCCUAUAUAUAUUCAUCCAUUUGGACAGUUUUCUUCACCCAUCAACACUUUCUUACACAUAUAACCUUUUCAAUCAUUACAAAAUAGCCACAAUGUCCAAUCUAGCCUUUCUUUCUCUAAUUUUAACCAUUUUCAUCUCUACUUCUAACGCCAUUUCCCAAUGUAACGGCCCUUGUAAAACUUGGGACGAUUGUGAUGGUCAAUUAAUCUGUAUAAACGGAAAAUGUAACGAUGAUCCUAACGUUGGAACCAAAGUUUGCAAAAGUAACCCUCCUUCCGUUCCAUCUCCAACUCCAACCAAUACAUGUCGUCCGUCUGGCACAAUCAAUUGCAACGGUGUGCACCCAAUAUACCGUUGCUCGCCACCUGUCACCUCCUCAACGCCCGCUCAACUGACCCUCAACGAUUUCAGUGAAGGCGGAGAUGGUGGUGGUCCAUCAUCAUGUGAUGGGAAAUAUCAUAAUAAUAAUGAAAGAGUAGUAGCAUUGUCCACUGGAUGGUUCGCGGGACGUUCAAGGUGUGGUAAAAUGAUACUAAUUCGCGCUAAUAACGGAAAGACCGUAACGGCUAAAGUGGUGGAUGAGUGUGAUUCUACUAUGGGUUGUGAUGCGGAACAUGCUUUUCAAAGUCCAUGCAAAAACAACAUAGUGGAUGGUUCUAUUGCUGUGUGGAGAGCUUUAGGGUUAAAUACAGAUUUAGGUAUUGUUCCCGUCACUUGGUCCAUGGUUUAGGCCAACGUGGAGCGAUCGUUACAGUUAUGGAUUCGAUAGAAUUCAAUAACUUUAUAUGUCUCAAAUUAUAUAAUUCUUGAAUAAGCGUGUCAUCUUACAUGUAAUAAGAUGUACAUUAGAGUUUCUUAAAAAUAAUCAACUACGAUAUAAUUUCUUACUAAUAAUGUUCUCCUUUCGUCUCAAUUUAUUUUGUGAUGUUUACCUCUUUGUAUACUUCUAAAUAUCAAGAUUUAGUUUUGAAUUUGGGAUAUGCAAACAUGUAUUGAGAGGAUUAAGAAAAAGAGGGAGAUGGUGGAGGUGUUUGAAGAUCGUGAGGGUAAGAGAUAGAGACGGAUUGGGGGAGGGAAAGACAUAGGUGAGAGAAAAUAAUUUAAAUUGCUAAUUUACCAUUAAUUAAGGAAUUUAAAUUUUAAGAUAAUUAUUUAAUAUCAUAUUUAAGAGAUAUGUGUAUCUGAUUAAAUAUUUUAAAAUAUAUGGUAUAAAUAUUAAAAGUGAUAUUAUGUUAAUUUUUUAAAAGUAUAGGUAAAUUAAGUAUAUCUUUCUUUUUUAUUAUAAAUUUCAAAAGUCUUUAUGUCUAGCACCAAUUAUAGAAAGUCUGAAAAUUGCAAAAAUGCAAAAAAGGAGGACGGAGUGCAAGGUCAUAUUGCACUAUCAAAAAAUGGUAUAAUACUGAAAUGUGUUCUUUAACUUGAUAUCAACUGACAUCUAUACAUUUUAAUUUUGAAUGUGCAAGGUACAUAAAUUUGUAUAGAAUUGAACAAUUACACACAUAUGUCUUACGCAGUGUUUUAAAAGGCGAGAGCAUGAAACGGGGCAUUUUACUUAGUGUAGGGGGAGGCGUAAGCCUUGAGACGUGGGGCGUAAUCCCUAUGAAUCUUUAAAUUUUUAAUUUAGGGGAAAUACAUAAUUACCCCAUUCAACUAUAACACUUUUUUUUUAAAAACACUCAAACUUUAUAAGGGUCCUAGUACCCCACUAAAUAAUUUAAAAGUGAUAUAAAUAUCUCAUUUUUCAAUUAAUCCCACUUAUAAAAAAGAAGGUGUAAGCACGCACUAAUUAUAGUUUGCUAUCUGUCAAUUUUAUAUAAUUUCCUAAUCUUUGUUUUUAUUUAUGUUUUUUUUUUAGUUUAAUUCUUUAUUUUUUCUUUCUUCGCUUAACCCAUCCGUUGGUCUUCUUCGUUGUGGAGUGGCCGCCAUUGCUACAACACCAUUUACAACAUUAAAUCAAAAUUAAAAUUGGAAAAUCAAAUCCGCUUUCAAAAUUUAUUGUUUUCAAAUUAAAAUUUCUAUCAAAGUCUUUUUUUUAUGUGUUUUGCCUUUGAUUUUUGCUCUAAAUCAACUUGGGUUGUAUUUGAAAAAAACAUUGAAAUAACGCCGACGAUUCUAUCUUCGAAGUUGCCAUCAUCUUUCCGGAGAUUCUCACCCUAGACAGUCAAGAAGGAGAAGAAGAAAUAUGAGGAUGAAACAACAAAAAUGUUGUUGCUUCCAUUAUCAAUGGGAUUUUUUUGUCAGUGAAAAGGCAUUUUAUUUUAUGUACUGAGAUUGUGUUAUUUAGUUACAAUUAAAUCUCUCCGUCGAAAUCCAAUCUAAAUGAAAAACGAAAAGAGAGCAAAAAAAGAAGAAAAAAAAAAACUUCAAGCUCCUUCAAUGGUGAAGCUCAGGAAGGAGUAAAAUAAAGAUUAUUUAUAUAGUUAAUAAAAAAUAUUGCAAAAGAAAAGUUUAAUCUUACUUUUUUUGGUUUCCAUGCUCUUCAGGCGAGUGAUAUACACUCUCUCUAUAAAAUAUCGAAAAAUGGUUCAAUAAUUUCACAUUAAUCUAGUUAAGUGGUGUAUUAGGACCCCCACAAAGUUUAAGUGUCUUUUUCAAAAAUACAUCUUACUUUAAUGGGGUAAUUAUGUAUUUAUAAUAACUCAAAAUUAUAAAAAUACAUCAAUAGUUUGAAAUAAUUACAAACAUGAAACUCAUAGAAAAUAAAACUUCUAACAUGAUUAUACAAGUAUAAAUAAUCUAACAUCUUAACUUUCUAAUAAUAAAAGAAUCAUUAUUUCUAAAAAAUUAUUUCUAUCAUACUAUACAAUUUACUCCCUAAAAGAAAAUAAACAAUAAAACUUACUAGUAUUAUAAUAAAAACUUCACUCCAUCAUGAAUAUAAAUAAAAUUACUUUCAAAUAGCUAAAUAAAAUAUGAUAAUUUGGAGACAUAAGACAAAAUCAUGGAGACCAAUCAUAAGUGAAAAAAUAAAAAAUUUCUACGUAUUUUAAAAGAAAUAUUGCGUAAUAUAUAAUCACCUUCACAGUGUUACGAAAUAGUAAAGAUACGAUACUACAACUUGUUAUUUGAGUUACUUUCAAUCUUCUUAUCUCUAUAGAUUAAAAAAUUACUAAGUUUCAUUCAUUUAUUAAAGAAUUAUGAGUGUCAACAAUGUUAACUAGAGAUUUUAAUACAUAAUUUGUGCAAGAUCUGUUAGGCAAUUCCCUAACGUUGGGCGUUAGGCAUGCUUAGGGAGUACAGUCGGGCGCUUGGGGCGUAAGUCUUAUAAAACUAAGCCUCACACUUGAGUCUCGGGGGGUUUUGCUAGAGCCCCGCCCCAGGACGAGCUCCGAGGCAAGUCCCAACAUAGUCUUUUAAAACACUGGUCCUACGUGACGUCUUACAUAUAUUAUACCAUAUAAGACGCAUGUAUUACGCCACGCAAAAAAUAUAUGCAGUAUACACUUAUUUUCUAGUUGUAUUACAAUGAAUAUGCACUAGUAACUAUUUCAAAUUGAUACAUCUAAAUUACUAUAUAGCUGGAUAUUUUUGACAGAUUGAAACUCAUAAGAAAAACACGAUAAAUGAUUUGAGACGAAGAGAUCAGUAUUCUCUCCUAAAUAGGACUCCCAUACCCUUUCUCCAAGAAUAAAGAUUAACCAGAUAUAAAAUAUUUAUAUUUAUAUUUAUCUUAUCGUAAAAGUAAAACCAAUUAUAAUAAAUAUGUUAUCGUUUCUUCCAAAAAAAAUAAAACACCCAAUUAUGAUUUUAGAAAUUAGGACAAACACCCAAUAAUAUGUGAGUUUCUUAACAAAUCAAUUAUAUUCAAAUCAAACUAUGAAAAUUGACAAUUAAAUUUGCAAGACAUGGAUUGUUUUCAAACGUAUUUGAAAACGGAGAUAUUAAUUGUCCUUACUUGUUCCUAGGUUUGUUUUUUUAUCGCCUUGUUUCAUUCACUUAUUUAUGUAAUAUAUUUACCUUUUUAUAUUUUGGUGGAAAAGAUCUAGAAAUAUAUUUAUCUAUUGAGUCAAAAAUGAAUAUAUUAAUUUAAUAGCAGCCAUUACGUAGGAACUAAAGAGUACUAGGAAUAGCAUAUUGUUAGUGAAGUAAUUAAUCGAUUGUACAAAAGUUGUUAGUAUUUGACUAAAUUAGAAUUUAUGUGUUAUAGAGUUUAUUUCUGAAAAUAACGCUUCUAACAAAAAAAAUCAUUUCCAAAAAAUUGGUUUCGACCCCUCUAAUUAAAGGUAAUUUUGGACCAUCCUACCGUAAUUCAGAUUGAUUAAUUAAUCGAUCAACUUGCUAGUCCAUCUAUAAUUCCUAAUAAUGUCAGAACCCAUGCAUCCAUGCAAGUCCUUGCAUUAAAUAGCCAAAGAAAGUCUAAUUUUGCUUAUACAAAAUUUGGAAGGAUUUUUAUAUGUAGAUAGAAUCGUGGUAUUCGGAUCGACUUAUGUGCAUCUCGACUAAAUUUUACGGAAUAUAUGUCAUUUCUCAUCAACAACACAUACCAGAUAACUUUUUCCACCAAAGUUAAAACAAAUAUAAAGAAAUUACUCAACAUUUUGCCUAUAUUAGAAUUUAAACCUGAAAUAUCAUGAUGCUCGAUUAACCCACUUCAUUGAAGAAUUUUCUUUUUACAAAAGUAAAAGAACAAGUCAUACUAUUAUUCAUUAUUUAACUUAUCCCGAUUCAAUUCAUUUCAACUUGAAAAUUUUAAUUUUGUAUUAACAAAUAACAUAUUCAAAUUCAAGUCAAUCCGUCCAAAUUGACACGUAGAUAUCUACUAGCCGAAAAUCACGACUCAUCACAAUAUCAUUUCUCCCUAUAUAUAUUCAUCCAUUUAGACACUUUUCUUCACCCAUCAACACUUCCUUACACAUAAAACCUUUUCAAUCAUUACAAAAAUAGCCACAAUGUCCAAUCUAGCCUUUCUUUCACUAAUUUUCACCAUUUUCAUAUCCACUUCUAACGCCAUUUCUCAAUGUAACGGCCCUUGUAAAACAUGGGACGAUUGUGAUGGUCAAUUAAUUUGCAUAACGGAAAAUGUAACGAUGAUCCUAAACGUUGGAACCAAAAUUUGCAAAAGUAGCCCUCCUUCCGUCCCAUCUCCAACUCCAACCAAUACAUGUCGUCCGUCUGGCACAAUCAAUUGCAACGGUGUACACCCAAUAUACCGUUGCUCGCCACCUGUCACCUCCUCAACGCCCGCUCAACUUACCUUCAACGACUUCGGUGAAGGCGGAGACGGAGGUGGUCCAUCAUCAUGUGAUGGGAAAUAUCAUAACAAUAACGAAAGAAUAGUAGCAUUGUCCACCGGAUGGUUUGCAGGACG